This 117-nucleotide ribosomal RNA is filed under the name Caldisalinibacter kiritimatiensis. Lineage: Bacteria; Bacillati; Bacillota; Tissierellia; Tissierellales; Thermohalobacteraceae. The record is from RNAcentral.
UCUAGUGGCAAUAGCGGAGGGGUUACACCCGUUCUCAUUCCGAACACGGAAGUUAAGUCCUCCAGCGCUGAUGGUACUUGGAUGGAGACGUCCUGGGAGAGUAGGUCGCUGCUAGAU